UUUAUACUCCCUCCGUUCUAAAAUUCUUGUCUUAGAUUUAUCUAGAUAUGAAUGUAUCUAGUCAUGUUAUAUUAUUUAGAUACAUCCAUUUCUAGGCAAAUCUAAGACGACAAGAAUUUUGGGACUGAGGGAAUAUGAC
Non-coding RNA from Hordeum vulgare subsp. vulgare (domesticated barley), 139 nucleotides. The record is from Rfam. NCBI's taxonomy places the organism in Eukaryota, Viridiplantae, Streptophyta, Magnoliopsida, Poales, Poaceae.